RNAcentral lists this unclassified non-coding RNA (208 nucleotides) under Glomus sp. Its description in RNAcentral is "partial internal transcribed spacer 2". Lineage: Eukaryota; Fungi; Glomeromycota; Glomeromycetes; Glomerales; Glomeraceae. The record is from RNAcentral.
GUGAAUCAUCAAAUUUUUGAACGCAAAUUGCACUCCCUUCCGAGAGGAUGCGUGUUUGAGUGUCAGCGUCAAUAAAAACGACAUAGUCGCUGCUUCGCGGUGACAUUCGUCGGAAAUUGGUUCAUCUUAAACAUUUUGGUUUUAAGCGGCUUAAAAUUUUCUUUUCGAUUCCACUAUUGUUUCUAAGAUUUACUUAUUUGUUUUAGGU